RNAcentral lists this ribosomal RNA (327 nucleotides) under uncultured Acidobacteriota bacterium. Its description in RNAcentral is "bacterial SSU rRNA". It matches the Rfam family "Bacterial small subunit ribosomal RNA", at positions 32 to 351 of the family's 1533-position model. Lineage: Bacteria; Pseudomonadati; Acidobacteriota. The record is from RNAcentral.
AAUCAACGCUGGCGGCGUGCCUCAGACAUGCAAGUCGAACGAUUAAAGCUCUCUUCGGAGAGUGUAUAGAGUGGCGCACGGGUGAGUAACACGUAAGUAAUCUACCCUCGAGUGGGGAAUAACGUCCGGAAACGGACGCUAAUACCGCAUAAUGCAGCGGCACCGCAAGGUGACAGUUGUUAAAGAUUUAUCGCUUGAGGAGGAGCUUGCGGCAGAUUAGCUAGUUGGUAAGGUAAUGGCUUACCAAGGCUACGAUCUGUAACCGGUCUUAGAGGACGGUCGGUCACACUGACACUGAAUAACGGGUCAGACUCCUACGGGAGGCAG